Molecule: ribosomal RNA, 270 nt
Filed under: uncultured bacterium
Lineage: Bacteria
Description: partial 16S ribosomal RNA
Rfam family: Bacterial small subunit ribosomal RNA
Source: RNAcentral
GAUGAACGCUAGCGGCAGGCUUAACACAUGCAAGUCGAGGGGCAGCAUGGUGUAGCAAUACACUGAUGGCGACCGGCAAACGGGUGCGGAACACGUACGCAAUCUACCUCUUUCAGGGGCAUAGCCCGAAGAAAUUCGGAUUAACUCCCCAUAAGAUAGUGAAGUGGCAUCACUUAGCUAUUAAAACUCAGGUGGAAAGAGAUGAGCGUGCGUCCCAUUAGCUAGUUGGUAGGGUAACGGCCUACCAAGGCGACGAUGGGUAGCUGGUGU